Molecule: long non-coding RNA, 6706 nt
Organism: Loxodonta africana (African savanna elephant)
Lineage: Eukaryota; Metazoa; Chordata; Mammalia; Proboscidea; Elephantidae
Exons: 3
Source: RefSeq, a predicted model, not a curated record
ACUUCUUAGAGCACGGUUACAAUACCUUUUUACACUUUUUCUGUUAUGCCAAUGCUAUGAGUCCUGCUUUAAUCUUAUGGAAAUUGUCAUUUUUUUGUUUGCUUGUUUUAGCAAGGAAUAGACCCAGUUAUGUUCAGGCUGCAAGUUCUGUCUCAUCUCCUGUAUGCUGUGGCUCAAAUGUCUUUUGAAUUUUCAAAGCUUAAGAGGACUAAAAUAUUUUGAGGACUUAUCUAUGUGAGUGCCACUCAGUCUGGGACCUAGAUGGUGUUCAAACCCAUAAUACAGUGCUCAAAGGUUUGCAAUGGUUCUUAGGAUCAGAUCUAUGAAUGGGCAACUUACCCAUUGCCGUCGAGUCAACUUAGAGGUGACUUUAUAUGCGACUUUAUGAAAUCCCUGUCUUGAGCUGCUUCCUCUCUAUCUCUCUGAGGCUCUCUGACUUCUGAUGGGCUACCUUCCCGGUCCACUGGCAAGAAUGUUGGGGCUUUAAUCUCUUCAUUCUGCCACGCGGUUAAGUGACUGGGUCUGUCUAUGGGGCCAAAUAAUGGUAUGAUAGAGACAGAAAACGUAACAGACAUUCCUCUACACUCUUUGGACUUAGAGUGUUAGGUGUUUGCCCCCCUGCCUGCCUGCCCAUCUCUCUCCUUUACAGACCGUCUACCCCCCACAUGAUAGAAAGAAGGAUUGUCUUGGACCUAUUUCUAUCCACAACCUGAGUGUAGUUAUGAGAUUUGGGCUCAUUUAAUUUCAGCCUCUGGAAUAUUCAUACUUUAUGUUCUGGUUUCUUCCCGCAGCCACCUUCAACCAUUUCCUUUGCAGAGUCCUGAGAUAGCAUCCCAUGCAUUUGUCCAGAUACUUAGUUGUCAGAUGCCAGCAUAGCCACCGGGGAAGUGUUAGUUGUGGUUAGGGGGAGGGACUGUACACUGAAGGAGCUGCAAGACCUGGCUGCCUUGUGUGAGCAGGACCGGGGGGUGCUGAGGGAGGAGUGCUGAAGGUGCUGAGUCAAGGGGAGUUUAAUGUAAAGUUGGGUCAAGGAGAGUUUGUUGAUAUGGGGGGAACUCUCUCCUAAAAAGGAUUUAUUGCCAUUGUGGGGGUUCUGGAAAUGGGUUUAAUAUGCUACAGGGAUUGUGCUUGGAAGCUUGGAAAAGGCAAUGGCCCACAUUCUAUGACAUCAAAAUGCCGUUACUGCUGUGUCAGAUGUUGAAAAAUGGGGGAAAGUCUCCAACACAUGGACAUCCAGAGUGAGUUCUCUUAAGACCAUUUUUGAGAAGUCCUGAAGGACACUCCUCUCAUCAGAACAAUAAGGAAUGCAUGGUGCAGGGGAGUGGCAGCAAAGUGAAACUUAGAGAUGUCUGUUCUCUGGAGGCUUAGGUUGUGGGUGGGAGACAGCUGCCUAGUAGCAAUGGGAAUAAUGGGGUCCCAGAGCAGCAGAAGCCAGGUGGAAGCACUUAACUAUCAGAAACAAGGUGUAUGUCAUUACUGUAAUGGUCAGCAGGUCAAUAUAUUAUCUACUGGGGCAUAAAAAAUUAUCAUAAAACAUAGUAGAUAUUAGAUAAAUGGAAAAAUACUCCAUUUAUGCUAAUAAAAUUUGGAAGUAGACAAAUAUACUGUUAUUACUUUUAUGACCCAACAUACUUUUCUAGGUGAAUUAAUAAGCUAGAAAAGUUAAGUAAUGAAUUAAAUAUUAAAACAGAUUUUCUUCUUUUUAUGAUGAAAAUAUAAUUGCAUACCUAGAAAAUGAGGAUAAAAAUUUUGGUAAACUGACAAGCCAAAUAUACCAAAAUCAAUGACUUCUCUCCAGUCUAGACAUAGUGCCCAAAAUUGGAAGUAUCAGGGUGGGAGGAAUAAAGACAAUUUUCUUUACUACAUGAUUGCAUCAAAUUGUGUCCAAAAUCAUAAACUACUUAGGAAAACAUUGUUUUGACCGGAACAGAAAAGAAUCUAUUUGAAGAAAGUUCAUGUAGAGGAAGAAAUAAAAUUAAACCUUAAGAAUGCAAAAAAUAUGUUUUCUCAAAUGGGAAGUCUUGUUUAAUCAAUGGCAGUCCCCCAAAAUCAACAUACAAAUGUAUUGCAAUUCCCAUUAGAAUAUUUACCUCGUUAUUUGUUGAAUUGUAUACAGUAAUCUUAAGAUGCAAAUAGUAUAAUAGAUACCAAAGAACAGACAACAAAAACAUGAAAAAGAAGGAGGCUGCUUCAUCAACUAACGGAAUAUUACAUAGCAUAGGAACUGAAAGCUAGACCAAGGAAACAAAGUAGCAAAUCCACAGAGAUUAUCAUAAUAACCGUUAAUACAGAGGUGGUAUUUCAACUCAGGAAAAUUAUGGUUUAUCUUAUAAAUGCUGCUGACUCAACUGAUCAUUCUGGGUAAAAAAAAAAAAAAAAAAAAAACUUCUAAGAAUGUGAUACAUCAGCGAUGGAUCUGGGAAAUUAUGGGAAAUGUCGAUGAUAAGGAUUAACAACUAUUUCCGUUUUAUACAAGGAAGACAAAAAUUGAGGACUUGCAAAAUGAGCAAUGAAUUCAAAAGACCAUUCAGAGCAAAUACGAGUGACCAAUAAGCAUAAUCGAAGUUGUUCAAAAACACUGGUAGUGAAGAAAUUAUCAAAGUCCCAGUGAAACUGGCACAAUUUAAAAAUCUACACCACCUAUGGCUGGGGCCCGGGGGUGCUGUGGGGAGAAGGGUGCCUCAGACAUGGCUGGAAAGGUGCAUGAUGACAGCCUUUAGGGGAAAGACAUGGACAUGGCUCUGUAAUUUUGAAACAUUCUUUGACCUAGAAAUCUCACCCUUUGGAAUUUAUCCCAUGGAAGCAAAUCCUCUAGUAUACAAAGGAUGGUUAUUGUUAAUAAUGGCAAAAAAUCGACUGCUCAUGGAUGAUGGAAAGAUAGAUAAUUUAUGGUAGAGCUAAAUCAAUAAAAUUUAGGAGUCAUUAGAAUGAAAAAGAACUAGAGUAGUUAAAUAGUAGAAAUCUCUGUGAAGUAUUACUGAAGGAGAAAAUCAAGGUGCAGAGAAGUCUGUAUAAAAUGAGCACAUUUGGGUAAAGCAAUAGCAAUUGUUUGAAUAUGCUUGAAUACCUGUUUGUGUUUAUGUGAGUGUGUAAAUGAGCAGACGAAGAUACAUUUGUGUCUGUGUGUGCUUGUAUAAGCAAGGGUAAGAGAGACUACUUACCACAUUGUUAACCUCAAUUUCCUUGGAUUCACUUCUGGAAAAGGACUGGGGGGGAGGAGAGCUAGAACAUGCAGGAAGAGUGGACUUAGAAAGCACGGGUGAUAUGUGUUUCCACUUUAGUAGUGUUAUAUAUGAGUCAGUCUAGAUAGUGUACACAGUAAUUGUUCUCAUCUAUUUAAAUGCUUUAUGUGUAAAUAUGAGUUCAAUCUUAGAAGACCCAAAAAGGUAGUGUUAGUGUCAUACCUAAUGACCUUCAGGGAAUCAGCAAUUUACAGAGCACUGUGGGUAGAGUAUGACACAAUUUCCGUUAAAGCAAACGAACCAGGGGAUCUACUUGUGAACCUGUGACUGUGUGUAUGUGUCCCAGCUGAGAAAUGUAGGGAAAGAUACACAUGUGUCUAUUAACUUUGGACACCUUGGGGGUGCAGGACCAAAUUACAUAUGAGGGUGGGACCAUGAUUGUAACUUUUUCAUUAUACAAAUCUGUACCCUUAGAGGUGUUAUACAAAAGACUUUUAGAGCUUUGAAAGUUGAUAAACAUCAUCAUAGAUACAUUAUUUUAAAAACAUUUUGUUGGAUUUUUUUUGAACAGGGGGAAAAUAUCUUUAACAACAGACACAAAGAUUUUAAUCACUGGAAGAAGAGCACACCACAGACUGCUCAACAGUCAGAUCCAGCAGAUUUCACGCUUGUUCUUGGAGACAAUGAGCUCUUCUGGUCUCUACACCUGGAAAUGACCAGCGAGAAUUUUGUAAGGGUCCAUGAAGUUACUCCUCAAACGUUUCUUGCAGGUACAUGUCUACAGAUAAAGGAAGAAGGCUGGACACCACAUGCAGUUCACUAGUCAAAGAAUUGAAGAAAAAGGUCGACUCAGAGGAAAGAAGCAAACAGAGGGCAGGCUUCUAAACCCAGAGAGAACAGCAAGAACACAGUUACAGAUACCAGAAGAGCACAUUGGCUCCAGGAACAUGCAAGAAAUCCACUGAUUGUGAUUAUUACUGUCUGUGGUAUGCUCUCUUUUCAGUGAUUAAAAUCUUUGUCUGUCACAGAGAAUUUUCACCUAUUUAAAAAUAUAUGUCUAUGUCACUUACUGAUUUCCAAAGCUAUGAAAUUCUUUUUCAUUACAUGUUUAAGAAUACAAAUUUGUAUAAUGAAAAAUUACAUGCAGAGUCCCACCCUCAUGUAUAUAUUGCUCCUGCUCCCCCGAGGUAUCCAACGUUAAUAGACACAUGUGUACCCUUCCCUAGGUUUCUCUGCUGGGACAUGUAUACACAGUCACAGGUACACAAGUAGAUCUGCUGGGGUGUUUGCUUUUAUGGAAACUUGGUCACACUCUACCCACAUUGCUCUUGCCCCUUCUUUCACUUGACAUUCUAUCUUGAUUCUCUGUAAGUCAUUAGAUAUGGCACUAACUCUACAUUUUUAUGUCUUCUAAGUUACACACAUAAAUUAAAUAGAUAAUAACAAUUAUAGUACACUUUAUCUAGACUUAGACAUGUUGUUAGGUGCUAUCGAGUUGGCUCUGACUCACAGCGACCCUAUGCACAACACAACAAAACACUGCCUGGUCCUGGUUGCUAUAUUUGAGCCCACUCUUGUAGCUACUGUCAGUCAAUCUCAUUGAGGGUCUUCCUCUUAUUCGCUGGACCUCUGCUUUACCAAGCAUGGUGUCCUUCUCCAGGGACUGGUCCCUUCUGAUAACAUGUCUAAAGCCAUCCUUGCUUCUAAGGAACAUUCCAGCUUCUUUCAAGACAGAUUUGUUCGUCUCAUACGUAACACUACUAAAAUGGAAACAUUUUAUCACCUAAGCUUUUUAAGUCCACUCUUCCUGCAUUUUCCAGCUCUCCUCCCCCAUUCUUUCCCACGAGUGAAGCCAAGGUAAUUCAUUUCGACCAUGUGGUAAGUAGUCUGUCUUAUCCUUACUUAAAUAAGCACACACAGACAUACAUGCACCCUCGUCUGUUCAUUUAUACACACACAUAUAUGUGAACAGGUAUUCAAGCGUAUUCAAACAAUUGCUAUUGUUUUACACAAAUGUGCUCGUUUUUUAUAUACUUCUCUGCACCUUAAUUUUUUCAGUAAACUUUAAUAACACUUCACAGAGAUUUCUCCUACUUAACUACGACAGCUCUUUUUCAUUCUAAUGACUCCCUAUGUUAUUGAUGAUGUAGUUUUACCAUACAUUCUCUAUCAUUCCACCACCAACGGACAGUCAAUGUUUUGUCAUUGUUAAUAAUAAACAGCCUUUGUAUAGUAUAGGAUUCGAUUCUGUGGAGUAGACUCCACGGAGUGAGAUUUCCAGUUCAAAGAAUGUUAAAAGUACAGGGCCAUGGCCAUGUCUUUCCCCUAGAGGCUGUCAUAAAGCACCCUUCCAGCCAUGUCUCAGGGUUUCAUUCUCCCCACAGCCCAGCCAGCUAUAGGUGGUGUUGCUUUUUAAAUUGGGCCAGUUUCACUGACACCUUAAUAUUUUUUUAACUACCUGUGUUUUUGAGCAACUUGGAUUAUGUAUAUUGGGCAUGUGGAUUUGCUCUGAAUGAUCUGUUUGAAUUCACUGCUCAUUUUUCAAGUACUUAACCUUUAUCCUUCUGUGUAAAAUGUAAAUUUUUAUUAAUCCUUAUCUACUUUCACAUAAUUUUCCAAACCUAUGAUUUGUGUAUCAUAUUUUUGCAAGUUUUGUCCCCCAGAUCAGUUGAGUCAGCACCAUUUAUUAAAUAAAUACAAUUUUCACACCACCUUUGUAUGAAUGGUUAUUGUGAUUUCUUAGUAGAUUUUCUAUUGCAAUUGUCUACUUGUCAGUUUCUAUGCUAUGUAAUAUUGAUUUGUUCUGCUACUUGAUUGGGUAGACAUCUGUUACUAUUCUGCUAUUUCAUGUUUUUCUUGUCUAUUCUUUGGUAGUGCAGCCCUGCUGUUGCAAUGGCUAAGUGCUUGACUGCUAAAUGAAAGAAAGUUUGGCAGGUCGAACCCAUCCACUGGCUCUGAGGGAGAAAGACCUGGCGGUCUGCUCCCGUAAAGAUUACAGCCUAUAAAAGCCUAUUGGGCAGUCAAAUGGGAGGGCUAUGAGUCAAAAAUCUUGUCCAAGGCUCCAAACGACAACAUUCUUUGUUAUCUAUUGUACUAUUUGUAGCUUACGAUUAGUGUAUACAAUUAAAAAACAACUACCUGAAUAUUCUAACUGGAAAUGCAUUCCAUUUAUGUAUUAGUUUUGGGACCUCCAUUUAAUUAACAAGACUUCCCAUUUGGAAAUAUGGCAUAUUUUAUGCACAUAUUCAGGUUCCAUUUUAUUUACCUUAAUACAUUAGUUUUCUUUGUAUAGGUCCUUUGCUGCUCCAGUCAAAACAAUGUUUUCCUAAAUAUUUUAUAGUUUUGGACACAGUUUGCCACUGUCAAGUACUAGGGGAAAGAGAACGAUCAGCCCUUCCCACCCUUGCCAAUUUCAGUCCCUUAUGUCCACAUGGGAGAGAAACCAUUGAUUUUGAAGUACUUGUCUUUUAUUCGGGUAUGCAAUUAUAUCAUCAUUAUUUUGAAAAUCUGUUUUUGUACUUAUA